This 487-nucleotide ribosomal RNA is filed under the name uncultured bacterium. RNAcentral describes it as "bacterial SSU rRNA". It matches the Rfam family "Bacterial small subunit ribosomal RNA", at positions 501 to 987 of the family's 1533-position model. The record is from RNAcentral.
CUACGUGCCAGCAGCCGCGGUAAUACGUAGGUCCCGAGCGUUAUCCGGAUUUAUUGGGCGUAAAGCGAGCGCAGGCGGUUAGAUAAGUCUGAAGUUAAAGGCUGUGGCUUAACCAUAGUACGCUUUGGAAACUGUUUAACUUGAGUGCAGAAGGGGAGAGUGGAAUUCCAUGUGUAGCGGUGAAAUGCGUAGAUAUAUGGAGGAACACCGGUGGCGAAAGCGGCUCUCUGGUCUGUAACUGACGCUGAGGCUCGAAAGCGUGGGGAGCAAACAGGAUUAGAUACCCUGGUAGUCCACGCCGUAAACGAUGAGUGCUAGGUGUUGGGUCCUUUCCGGGACUCAGUGCCGCAGCUAACGCAUUAAGCACUCCGCCUGGGGAGUACGACCGCAAGGUUGAAACUCAAAGGAAUUGACGGGGGCCCGCACAAGCGGUGGGGCAUGUGGUUUAAUUCGACGCAACGCGAAGAACCUUACCAGGUCUUGACAU